UGCCUCAGUAACGGCGAGUGAAGCGGCAACAGCUCAAAUUUGAAAUCUGGCUCUUUCAGGGUCCGAGUUGUAAUUUGUAGAAGAUGCUUUGGGUGUGGCUCCGGUCUAAGUUCCUUGGAACAGGACGUCAUAGAGGGUGAGAAUCCCGUAUGUGACUGGCCGCCUUCGCCCGUGUAAAGCUCUUUCGACGAGUCGAGUUGUUUGGGAAUGCAGCUCAAAAUGGGUGGUAAAUUUCAUCUAAAGCUAAAUAUUGGCCAGAGACCGAUAGCGCACAAGUAGAGUGAUCGAAAGAUGAAAAGCACUUUGGAAAGAGAGUUAAACAGUACGUGAAAUUGUUGAAAGGGAAGCGCUUGCAACCAGACUUGCGCGCAGUUAAUCAUCUGGUGUUCUCACUGGUGCACUUUUCUGCGUUCAGGCCAGCAUCGGUUCAGGUGGUGGGAUAAAGGCCUUGGGAAUGUAGCUUCUUUCGGGGAGUGUUAUAGCCCUCGGUGCAAUGCCGCCUAUCUGGACCGAGGACCGCGCUUCGGCUAGGAUGCUGGCGUAAUGGUUGUAAGCGACCCGUCUUGAAACACGGACAAAGGAGUCUAACAUCUAUG
RNAcentral lists this ribosomal RNA (596 nucleotides) under Hyphodiscus sp. RNAcentral's name for it is "partial large subunit ribosomal RNA". It matches the Rfam family "Eukaryotic large subunit ribosomal RNA", at positions 76 to 686 of the family's 3401-position model. The record is from RNAcentral. Lineage: Eukaryota; Fungi; Ascomycota; Leotiomycetes; Helotiales; Hyphodiscaceae.